GGGGGCGACGGGGUGGGGAAGGACGACCGCGGGGCCAAGGCUGAGCCGGAGGCGGAGGUAGAGAGCGAGGCGGGGGAGGAGAGCGAGUCCGAGGGAGACAGUGAGUCGGAUGAAGAGAGUGAGUCGCAGGAGGAGAGUGAGGAGGAACGUGAGGAAGAGAGUGAAGAGGACAGUGAGGAAGACAUGGAGGAUGAGCCCGAGAGCGAGGCGGAGGAGGAUAACCAAGAAGGAGAGUACGAGGCGGAAGGGGAAACUGAGGCAGAGAGCGAAUUUGACCCAGAAAUAGAAAUGGAAGCAGAGAGAGUGGCCAAGAGGAAAUGUCCGCACCAUGGGCUCGACUUGAGCACUUAUUGCCAGGAAGACAGGCAGCUCAUCUGUGUGCUGUGUCCAGUCAUUGGUGCACACCAGGGCCACCAGCUCUCUACGCUAGAUGAAGCCUUCGAAGAACUAAGAAGCAAAGACUCAGGCGGACUGAAGGCGGCUAUGAUCGAGUUGGUGGAAAGGUUAAAGUUCAAGAGCUCAGACCCUAAAGUAACUCGGGACCAGAUGAAGGUGUUUAUACAGCAGGAAUUUAAGAAAGUUCAGAAGGUGAUUGCCGACGAGGAGCAAAAGGCCCUUCAUCUGGUGGACAUCCAGGAAGCCAUGGCCACAGCUCACGUGACUGAGAUCUUGGCAGACAUUCAAUCCCACAUGGACAGGCUGAUGACUCAAAUGGCCCAGGCCAAGGAACAACUUGGUACCUCUAAUGAGUCAGCUGAGCCAAAGGCAGAGGGCGAUGAGGAAGGAGCCAGGAGAAAGAAAAGAAAAUGUCUAUAUAGAAGCAGGGAAAAAGAAGAAAGCUGAAAAGGACAACUGCAAGCUGAUGUGAAUCAUGCUUCAGGAAAAGCAUCGAGGAAAACAGAAUCACGGAAAACUAUAGCUAUUCCAUGGAAAAGAUCAUCAGUAAAAGCAUGGAUCACACUGGACAAAGAUGAUGCUCCAGUGCUUCAGGAAGGAGCUGCACCUC
Molecule: RNA transcript, 1006 nt
Organism: Octodon degus (degu)
Lineage: Eukaryota; Metazoa; Chordata; Mammalia; Rodentia; Octodontidae
Gene name: tripartite motif-containing protein 44 pseudogene
Exons: 1
Source: RefSeq, a predicted model, not a curated record